CGUCUAGAGGUUGUGACACCGCCCUUUCACGGCGGUAACAGGGGUUCGAAUCCCCUAGACGCCA
Molecule: transfer RNA, 64 nt
Filed under: Serratia marcescens
Lineage: Bacteria; Pseudomonadati; Pseudomonadota; Gammaproteobacteria; Enterobacterales; Yersiniaceae
Description: tRNA-Glu
Rfam family: tRNA
About the family: Transfer RNA (tRNA) molecules are approximately 80 nucleotides in length. Their secondary structure includes four short double-helical elements and three loops (D, anti-codon, and T loops).
Source: RNAcentral